Molecule: long non-coding RNA, 8199 nt
Organism: Acinonyx jubatus (cheetah)
Lineage: Eukaryota; Metazoa; Chordata; Mammalia; Carnivora; Felidae
Exons: 9
Source: RefSeq, a predicted model, not a curated record
AGAGAGGGGGGACGGGAGACAGAGGAUCCGAAGUGGGCUCUGAGCUGUCAGCACAGAGCUGGAUGCGGGGCUUGAACUCAUGAACCAUGAGGUCAUGACCUGAGCCAAAAUCGGUCGCUCAACUGGCUGAGCCACCCAGGUGCCCUGAGAAAUUUAAUUUUUUAAAAAAGAAAUUAGAGAUCCUAAAAAUUUUCUAGAUAUUUCCCGGAGAAUUACAGAGAACUUCAAUUUCAGCAAACUAGCACGGCUAUAGCUCUUUUCAUGUUCUUCUCUGACCACCUUGUAUCUGCCCAGGAUUUGUUUAUCAUUUAUACAAGUUGUUCAAUAUUGGAAACAAUCCUUUUAUUUACUUUUUGUUAGUUGAUAUUGUCCUGCUUUGAAUUCACUUCCACAAAAUCAAGAUAAUAGUAACAAAAAAGUGAUUUGUGUUUUGUUACUCCUGGAAAAGGUGCUGGUCUUGCCAGGGAUUUUAAAACAUUAUAAAGUACUCUUUCAAAAACUUAAACUUACCACCACCCUCAGCAUUCGCUCAUCAGUCAUGUUUUCCAAGAGUUUAUACUUGUCUCUAUAUAUACCAGUUGUACAACACAGUCAAGACCAUGGGCUCAAGAUGAAUUAGCCCAAAUCCAAGCACCUAUAAUCAGUCUGGGCUGUAGGUAUGCAUCAGUCAGCCCCCACAGGAGGUCCUCACAUGAAUCUUUUUUUUUUUUUUUAAUUUUUACUUUUAGAAAGAGUGUGUAAGUGGGAGAGAGGGGCAGAAGGAGAGAGAGAGAAUCCUAAGCAGCCUCCACACUCAGUGUGAAGCCAAAAUCAAGAGUCAGACACUCAAUUGACUAAGUCACCCAGGUACCCCUCCCUAUAAGAAUCUUACUGCACCAACUGGCUUGUGCAAAAAAUAUGGUAUUUCCUAAUUUUCUUUAUAUCAGCUUAAAUCCAUUUGAAAUCUCUGAUACCACUCAGUGUUGUGCCAGCGACCCGGGGUCUUAGCCUCACUGGACGCAGGUCAUGAUCCAGCAUCCGUGCCAUGCUUGGCAAGGGCAUAGCUGGGAACCUGUGGGGCAUCUGUACCUGGGGUCUGGCCUUUCCAUUCUGAAGGGGUGAGGUGUCCAAUAUAAAUCUCUUUUAACCCUAGGACCUUCAACCUUUGUCUCCUUCCCAGACUCUGGGUUUGCCUCUUUAUCUCUUUGCUCUUAAAAGUAUUCCUCUCCUCUUCCCCCUGGGACCCCUGGCAUCCUCUCUCCAGGUAACUUAGAUGUUUGCAAAAGACAGAACAGACCUUGAUCAAAGUGACUUCUAUUUUCCACUUUUAAAAAUCACUCAGAGAAGGAAAUACUAAAGGCUUGGCUCCUUGUCUGAAGUGAAUUGAAAGGGAACAUAUAGGGGAAUAAACACAAAUUAGUAUUUCAUUAAGUUAUCCUGCUAUAGGCUCUCAAAUUCCUCCUGCUCCUUGGCAGUCUCUCUCAGGGGUAAGUCUUACUGUGCCAUGGAGCAGGGGGCUCUCUCUAUGCAGGGAAACACCACAUUGUUCCACUUACUGAAUCUCUGAAUCUCCAAAACUUUAUUAGUACAUGGCAAAGUAGCUUUAUAGCCAGACAGCUCAAUAAACAGUGUCUAAAAGGAAAAGUCAGCAAUAUCAUUGAGAGUCGACACUUUUCAAAGGUGUGGGAGGAGAAAGGAAAUAGAGGGAAAAAUUAGUUGUAAUAUGGAAAAGAGUAACUUGGAGUCUAGAACUGUUUCUGAAUCUUUUGUUUUGGAUGAUAUAGGGAAUACAUAAAUGAUACAGUGCAAGUGUAGGUAGUAUUAAUAAGUUCAGGUGCUUGAGACUUUUUAUGGUAGAGGAAUCUGGAAGAAACCUAAAGGUGAGGAAGAAUUUUUAACUUUCUUUCAUGUUUAUUUUUGAGAGAGAGAGAGCAUGAGUGGUGGAGGGGCAGAGAGAGAGGGAGACAGAGAAUCCUAAGCAGGCUCUGUGCUCUCAGCACAAAGCCCGAUGUGGGGCACGAACCCACAAACUCAUGAACCAAGAGAUGAUGACCUGAGCUGAAGUGGGACCUUCAAGCAACUGAGCCACCACCCAGGCACCCCAAGGAAGAAUUUUUGAAGUCUAUCCACUUGUGAUCUUUGUUCUUCUGAUUUUGUUUCCUUCCCACUUUGUUAUUUGCUGAGAUGUUCCUCCUGGUGAGAUACGAAAAAAUUUUCCAUAAGGUAAUAAAACUAUGUUAAGGAGAGGAAAGAGUCAGACAAUAGAAGAAUUUUGCUAUAGUUAAAAAAAUUUUUUUUAAUGUUUUUAUUUAUUUUUGAAGGUGAGAGAGAGACAGAGCAUGGGCGGGGGAGGAGCAGAGAGGGAAACAGAAUCAGAAGCAGGCUCCAGGCUGUAAGCUGUCAGCACAGAGCCCAAUGCGGGCAAACUGUGAGAUCAUGACCUGAGCUGAAGCUGAACGCUCAACCGACUGAGCCACCCAGGCGCCCCUGCUAUAGUUUUAAAUUUUUGAUUUUUUAUGUGUGUUUUCUAUGACUAGUAAAAAUAUGUGACUAUUAUUUUAGGGAAUUUUGACCAGAGAUUAUGGGAGACUUUCCUCUCUAUGCCAAGCCUUGAUAGUUCACUUAUUAUUUAUAUAAGGCAUGAGCAAAAAGAUUCAGAACAUCAAGAGACCUACAUUGGUCAAGAGGGUCAUUCAGCAAAGUUCUUCCUAUUUUUUUUUUCAUGGUACUAUUAACUGAUAAUCAGAUGGUAAUUUCUGGUGAGGUAUUUCCAUCCCCUUUUCAGAUUCUGCACAGUGGAGGUCUCCUUGGUCAGGAGGGCUGGGCAGAGGGAGCAUGGGAAUUGGCCUCAGUGCAGCUCUGUGGACAUGGCCUUAAGGUAAGCAGUGAACUGACAUCCUGAUUUAUAACUGAUAAUUUCUCAUGAUGUUAUUCAAUUAUAGAUUUGCCUGUUUGGGGCACCAAGGACCAUAAAUAUGGUUCUCUAUUUUAAUACAGGCAUUGCAAGUGUCAAGUAUGCAUAAUUUCUGACAGAGAGAGAGGGAAAGGGAGAGGGGGAGGUGAUUUAUGACUUUUGCAGCUCAUUUCAUCUCUUCCCUUGUUGAUCGUGUAUAAAUUAUCUCUUUGGAAACAAAUGCUUUGGGAACACUAAUACAAUCAAGCUCAACUAUUCCUAGAUGGAUGGUUACAUGAUAAAUGGCCAAAAGCCUCAUCCCAAAGGUAGUAUUUUCCAAGGGUUUCUUGCCAUAGUCUACCCUUUGUUUUACUGACUGUGAACAGAGGAGUUACAAAACUCUGUAGAUUCUAUCAUCCAAUGCAAAGUGAAAUAGGAAGGCUAUUUUUUGCCUGUUGUAGCAAUAGCACUGGACCAGUAAAAUAAUAACACCUGGCCCACAACCAUAAGGCUUUGAAGGUGCUGGUCAUGAGAACUUUCCCCAUAGCAGCCUAGUGACCACCAUUUAAAAAGCAUGAACUGUUAAAACCCAAUUUUUAAUUUACUUUUCAACACCAUAGUCUAUAUCACAUUAGUUUUUCACAUAGUCACAGAUAAGACUGCUAUAUUUGAGUUGAUCCAGCUUAUGAUGAUAUACAAAUUGAGGUAGGGCCAAGUUUGUCUCAGUCUGUUGGGUCUAAAGUUUAUACUCCUCAUGCAGAUAAUUUUUUUUAAAAAAAUUUAAUGUUUAUUUAGUUUUGAGAGAGAGAGAGAGAGAGAGAGAGAGAGAGAGAGUUUGCGGGAAGGGCAGAGAGAGAGAGGGAGACACAGAAUCUGAAGCAGGUUCCAGGCUCUGAGCUGUCAGCACAGAGCCUGAUGCAUGGCUGGAACAUACCAACCAUGAGAUCAUGACCUGAGCCAGAGUUGGAUGCUUAACCAACUGAGCCACCUAGGCGCCUCUCCAGGCACAUACAUUUUAAUCAAAAUGCCAUAUGCUUCUUCUGAGAGGUGUCUUUUUUUUCCCAGGCAAUAGAAUGGAGCAUCUAAUUGGAAGAUGGGGAUGUCUCGGCAUCCUUGUGGACUGCAGCCCUCAUAGGGACGCUGACAGCUGUGGUUGGGUAAACUGAAUGCAUGUACGUAAUUGCCAAGCUAGUGUUAGGAUGCCCUGUCCAGGCUUCCUUCACCGUUCAGCAUCACCCACUGCACCACAUAUUUCCGUUUAGAGGAAAGAUCGGUAUUUUUAUUGAACCUCCAGUACUUCCAAAGUGAGCCAGUAAUUAUGUAAAUCACGCCAAUAACAUGUAGAAGAUAUGCAAAGUGAGUCUCCCCUUACCUAUCUGUGGUUUCGCUCUCAGCAGUUUCAGCUGCGCCGGCAGCGGUGGUCCGGAAGCAGCUGAUCUUUUUUUCUGACGAAUCGUAACGUCAAUAGUAGUCUAACUCGCUGAAGUCUCAAUAACUGCGUCAUUCACUUCACUCUAUCUCGUCGCGCAGGCAUUUUAUCCUCUCACAUCAUCACAGGAAGGGUGGCAGACGUCUCCCAGUUCUGCCGACAGCAGGUGCCAGGCGAGGGACACAGAGCCUCUUUGGGCCGCUUUCUCCCUUUGCUUCCAUCUGGAAAAUCACUGGGCUGCUUCUGGCCAGAUUUAGAUUUCCAGUGCAAGCCAUCAUUACCUUGGUUAGAGAAGUGAAGAGCUGAUGGAGAUGGGCUGCCACAUCACACUGGGGGACUGACUGAGAGAAGGGGAGCAGUGGGCAGGACCCCGCUCACAUGAUAACCCAGGCUGGCCAUCUCUCCUGUGGGCUAAAAUGGACAGACAUUUGAGAUGGCUGAAGAGCCCAAGAUGGUGUUAUUAAUUUCAUUAGUGGUAGCAGCAGCAACAGUAGUCACAGUGAUAAAGAAGUGCAAGGCGGCACAAAUGAAAGAUGCCUGGGAAGAGGCUCCAUCUAGAAGUGCCCAAACUCACCAACACUGUGUAUUUUCAGUUAGACAGUCCAGGGAAUCUGAUAUGUUGAAGAGUUAAGGCAUUGCCAGUGGUCUGGAGGCUGAGUCGUGAUAGAGCUGAGAUUCAAACCCAGGCAUUUUGCUUCAUUGCUCACGUGUUGUCAUCUUGACUACAAAUGAGGAAUCUUGCAGAAGGGGAGAUCAUGAACAAAGUUGGUAGUUUUUGAGAAGCUGCCCUUGAAGACAUGUCUAUCCUGUCUUGCUGUGAUCCCCCUCCCCCAACUUCUUGAGUUGCUUCUCUCUGGGGAGAUAUUAAAAGGAGCAGAAUUCCAGCUUGGGAGAGAAGUGUAGCCCUCAGCAGCAGCCUGCUCUGUCCUGGACCAGCUAAGUGGAUUCCUCUUUGGGACAGAGAGAAGUCCGGUUUCUAUGACAAUCCAUGGCCGUUCUGCCAAGACUGCCAGCCAGGGUGCCUGGCAGUGCUAAUUGCUAUGCAGACAUCCGUUCAUUAGACUUUGACCUAGAAUUACUAUCAUCUUUCACAAGAAUUCUGGAGAGAACUACAGAUGCUGAGUGCUUUACUUUGGUUAGCCUAAGAUAAAAUACCCAGGAGGAGGUCUACUGUGAGUAAAAUAAGCUGUGUAAGAACAUGAAGUUCAGUUCCUGGCUCACAAUCUGAAGCCCAGUAUAUGUUUAAAAUAACAUUAUCCUGGACCCGUUAGGAAGGACUUCUGCUCUCAUAAAUGGCCAAUGGCCAUUUAUAACCCAGAAGAUUAAUUUAGACAACCAAGGCCAAGAAUGAAAAAGAAUGAAAGAAGUGAAAGAAUUUGAUUAAGAGUAGUCUGACACGUCCUCUCUUUCUCAUGCUCUGCUAAGUGAUUUGACCCCUUCUCGGAAUGACCUGCAACCAGACUUAAUUUGAAGAGCUCAGAGAUAACAAAUUGCCAAUAACCAGGGCAUUUCAUGGCUGGUCUCACUAGACUGGUGACUAAGCUAAUUUUCAACAGCUGGAAGGACUUACCUCUCACACAUAAAUCAUGUAUAGUUCAGACAUUAUGGAGAAAAUCAUUCUGAAAAACAAACAGACUAUACACCUUCUGUAAGUGAAGUGUGAUUUAGGAUUAUUGAGGAAGAAUUCUGAGACUUUAAUUGAACAUAUUUUUGUUUUAGGUCACAUUUUUAUUUGCUCAUAGUAAUCACUUAUUGAUAACUAAAUAGAUAGCAUUUAACACGAUGGUUGUACUAGAUACUUUAUCUUCUUCAGCACUUUUGGAAUGAAUUUGUUUUAAAAUCAAAUGGAUCACACCAUUCCUGAGUUAUAUUUGUUCCCUGUCUCCAGUCACCACUACCCCCUCUACACCCACACUUUACCCCUUCUAGACUGCUUCUUACACUCUACUCAAAACUUUUAGAGAAAACUGUUUCAAGAAGGUAAAGUCUAGGCAACAGAAAGUUAAAUAUGCACAAGAAUGCUGUAAGUAAUAUGAAAGCUUUUUGUAGCUAAAGACUAAAGGUAGCAUGUCUACAGUGAUAGGUCAGAGACUGCUCAUUCAUUUGUUCAUUCAUCAGUAUUUAGUGAGCUCUUGGGAAUUCCCAGAUGAACUAGACACUGUUUCCUUAAGGAUUCUUCUUAAGACCAAUAAAAAUAACUAUCAGACGAAGUAGAAAUUAUACUGGUGGGGGUGGUUUGAGGAUGGGGUUGUCCCUCAUUAUCAGGGAAGGCCUUUCUGAGGAGGUGGCCCUUUACCUGGGCUUGCAGGAAUCUAAUGUGGGCAAAGGGAUGUGCCGGAACCCUCCUACCCAUUCAUCAUAUGCAUUGGCUACAGAUCUGGCUUAGUUUAGAGCCACGUUUUGUGGCCAUGGAGCACAGCAGGGCUUGCAUGGCUGAUGUAGGAUCUGAGUACACUGGCAACAUUUAUUUAACAGCUGCUCUCAUUUGCCACAGUGUGUAACUGGAAUGAGAUGGCAAUUUGGUUUUUAAUCCUGUUGCAAAAUGACCAUUGCUUAGCUCAUUCCUGAAAGAUCCUUUGAAAAGUGAAAUUCAAGGCUUGGAUUUUCUCCAGUUUAUCUGCAGAGUAUGAGAACAUUGUGGAGAACUUUUGUGUAGAAAACCUAGAGGCAAAGACAGAUCAAAAGUAGAGAAUAUCUUUAAACCUGUAUCUCGUUUGGAUCAGUUUCCCCAAAUAGCAAAAUACUACCUAUACCUUUAAAUGCAAAAAAGGGUAGUUAAAGCUGACUCCCCAAAUAAUUAGAUUUUAUUUAAAAGCUACAUGAGAAUUUCCUCACUGAUACUAGUUUCUGGCUCUUUAGAGAUGCAAAAAACUUUUUAAUCUAUAAUGGAAUUAUAACUAUUGAGACAUAAUUAUAAGACAUUAUUAAAGAACAGUUAAGCUUUUAAUCUCUGAAUGUGAGAGAUGUAAUAAGUAUGAGAAAAGCAAUUAUUAGGCAGAGAUCUGAUACAGAAUGUCCAAAUCGAAUGUGGUUGCAAAGCAAAGACCUUCCUGAUGAUCCUCAUUCCAGUGCCAGAGAACCACUGGUUUUGGGUCAGCAGUAUCUGCCUCUUUUUCACCUCAACUAAAAAUUAAACUGGUAGCUUCCACAGAGGUGUGGGGCCACAGUUUCUACCAUCUACAUGCACAUCACAGCAAGCAGCUGUAAAGAGAGAUUUCAGCCAGCAGGCACAUCCUCCCCGGCACUUUCAAAUAAAGGACAGAUCAAAAUGAAAGGCACUGAUAGACAGCCAGCAGCCAAAUCUCAUUCGCUUUGAUUCAAGUAACUCAGUUCACCAUCAAUGUGAUGGAAACAGGCUGGGAGACCACAGCCCUUGUGCUCGUAUUGAUCACCUGUCUUCCCUAGCAGCCUAUGGCAGCUCCUCUCCCAUUGUUUGGUGAGAAAACUGAACCACUUAGCAGAGACGCAGGGCAGUGUGGGAGAUUCAUGUGGAUACUUGGGGGUGGGGUGGGGCGGGAGGGGGUUCACUGUGAAUUACCUUGGUUAGUCAGGAUGUUCAAUAUUUUGGAGUUUCUAAUUAAUGCCUUCAGCUCUUUUUGCUUUAUUAAGUUGCAUCAGUGUUAACUCUUUUGGGGCCUGGGGACACCCCAGAAGAUAUUUCUGUCCUGGGCACUUGCAGUGAUUAAGAAGAGGGAGGGAAGGGGCCACAAAUGUGGAGAUACCAGGAUUCUAGAAGAGAAUAGACUUCAUUUAGCUGGCUGCUCUUCUAGGCCUGGGGCAGGCCUCAAGAGAAAGGUAUUCUGUGUUCUGCCUAUCUAGCAAUCCUUCCAGUUCUGUACCUGUUUGUUAUUUUACUAACUACUGUCAUAAGCAGUUAACAUUAAAUAUAAAAACACCA